Molecule: ribosomal RNA, 389 nt
Filed under: uncultured bacterium
Lineage: Bacteria
Description: bacterial SSU rRNA
Rfam family: Bacterial small subunit ribosomal RNA
Source: RNAcentral
GACGAACGCUGGCGGCGUGCUUAACACAUGCAAGUCGAGCGAGACCCACCUUUCGGGGUGGUGUUCUAGCGGCGAACGGGUGAGUAACACGUGGGCAACCUGCCCUCAGCUCUGGGAUAACUCCAAGAAAUUGGGGCUAAUACCGGAUAUGACCGCUGACCGCAUGGUCUGGUGGUGGAAAGAUUUAUCGGCUGGGGAUGGGCCCGCGGCCUAUCAGCUUGUUGGUGGGGUAGUGGCCUACCAAGGCGACGACGGGUAGCCGGCCUGAGAGGGUGACCGGCCACACUGGGACUGAGACACGGCCCAGACUCCUACGGGAGGCAGCAGUGGGGAAUAUUGCGCAAUGGGCGGAAGCCUGACGCAGCGACGCCGCGUGGGGAUGACGGCCU